AGCUGUGAUGACUUUGAUUG
This 20-nucleotide microRNA is filed under the name Cervus elaphus (red deer). Its description in RNAcentral is "cel-miR-2484". The record is from RNAcentral. Lineage: Eukaryota; Metazoa; Chordata; Mammalia; Artiodactyla; Cervidae.